GAGUUUGAUCCUGGCUCAGGAUGAACGCUGGCGGCAUGCCUAAUACAUGCAAGUCGAACGAAGCUGAUUGGAAGCUUGCUUCUGAAAGGCUUAGUGGCGAACGGGUGAGUAACACGUAGGGAACCUGCCCAGAUCACGGGGAUAACGGUUGGAAACGACAGCUAAGACCGGAUAGGUGAUGACGAGGCAUCUUGUCAUCAUGAAAAGAGCUACGGCUCUGGAGCUGGAUGGACCUGCGGCGCAUUAGCUAGUUGGUGAGGUAACGGCCCACCAAGGCAAUGAUGCGUAGCCGGCCUGAGAGGGCGAACGGCCACAUUGGGACUGAGACACGGCCCAAACUCCUACGGGAGGCAGCAGUAGGGAAUUUUCGUCAAUGGGGGCAACCCUGAACGAGCAAUGCCGCGUGAGUGAAGAAGGUCUUCGGAUCGUAAAGCUCUGUUGUAAGAGAAAAACGGCCGCCAUAGGGAAUGAUGGCGGAGUGAUGGUAUCUUACCAGAAAGCCACGGCUAACUACGUGCCAGCAGCCGCGGUAAUUC
RNAcentral lists this ribosomal RNA (536 nucleotides) under uncultured bacterium. RNAcentral's name for it is "bacterial SSU rRNA". It matches the Rfam family "Bacterial small subunit ribosomal RNA", at positions 9 to 526 of the family's 1533-position model. The record is from RNAcentral.